GACGAACGCUGGCGGCGUGCUUAACACAUGCAAGUCGAACGGUGAAGCGCCUUCCUUUUUGGUGGGUGUGGAUGAGUGGCGAACGGGUGAGUAACACGUGAGUAACCUGCCCCCUUCUUCUGGAUAACCGCAUGAAAGUGUGGCUAAUACGGGAUAUUCUGGGUCUGUCGCAUGAUGGGUCUGGGAAAGAUAUUGUUUCGGUGGGGGAUGGGCUCGCGGCCUAUCAGCUUGUUGGUGGGGUGAUGGCCUACCAAGGCGGUGACGGGUAGCCGGCCUGAGAGGGUGGACGGUCACACUGGGACUGAGACACGGCCCAGACUCCUACGGGAGGCAGCAGUGGGGAAUAUUGCACAAUGGGCGCAAGCCUGAUGCAGCGACGCCGCGUGAGGGAUGGAGGCCUUCGGGUUGUGAACCUCUUUCGCCAGUGAAGCAGGCCUGCCUCGUUUGUGGGUGGGUUGACGGUAGCUGGAUAAGAAGCGCCGGCCAACUACGUG
This 494-nucleotide ribosomal RNA is filed under the name uncultured bacterium. Its description in RNAcentral is "partial 16S ribosomal RNA". It matches the Rfam family "Bacterial small subunit ribosomal RNA", at positions 28 to 507 of the family's 1533-position model. The record is from RNAcentral.